CCUCUGUUUGAACUAUCUAAAUGAUUUCUCUUUUCCUAAAUGGACCCUGACUAAUAUUAUACAUAACUUUUCAGUGCUUGAAUCUUUAAAUUAAUUUAAAGCUGCUCUAUAAUCUGUAUUUUGAAACUUGGAGCUUUAAAAAUCUAGACACAACCAACUGCUCAUUACAUAGAAUCAAACCAACAGAAUGUCACGGGGGAAAAAAGUGUUCUUAUCAAAUUCCAAAAAACUUCAAGAAAGGAUCUAAAUUAGAUAACAUAUUGAAAAGUGUUCAUAAUAGUGGCUCAUCAUUUGUUUGACAAUAUACUGGUAUGAAAAUAUUUUACCAUGACAAUACUCACUGUGAUGAAAUUUAUUCCACAAACAAGUUUCUUCAAAGUAGUUUUUUUUAAUCUUAGGAUUAUACAAAACCACCUAAUAAAAAUAGGCACUAUAAUUCCUGGGCUUUUAGUUUCAAAGUCUGUUUUCCCAUCUGUUAUCCAAAGUCUAGGUCCACACAACCAAAGCAAAAUGGAAGAUUGUGUAAUUAUCCUUUGACUCAGAGACAAAUAAGAAUAUCAGUAGGGAAGGGACAUCCAUGCUCAUUUGGUUUAACACCUGCUCUGAUGUAUGAUUCCUUUGAAAUGUCUAAUAACCAUAGAGUGGAUAGUUAUGCUAGAUUUGAAUGACCUCGAUGAUGGCUAAUCAUUACCUGUCCAAGCAGCCAUUCCUUUGUUGGACAGCUUGGAUUUCCAGAAAUAUAUCCCUUUCAUUGUGCCCAAGGAAUGAGCAGGCAUGAUGGUAGCUUCUAGGCAUGGAUUCUAGUUAUUCGUUGAAAUUUGUAAGAAUAAUUAGAUUCUCUAUUCUACUUAAAAGUUCUUUAAACCAUUGUAAAAAUACCCAUGACAUCUCUUUAUGGAAACACUUUCAGAGGCGGCCCAGUGACUGGGGGAAUUCUCAGUGUCAGGAGGAUCCUCUGACUACAAACUGAAGGCUUACCUCUUAUCUAGAAAUAUUGAACUUGAAAACAAAACGAGUUCUCCUUUCACACAUCUGUAGAGGCUCCUUCAGAAGAUACAACUGUACCCUUUCCAGAAAAGGUCUUAGCCAGAAGUGAGGUCAUCGACAGAUAUUCUGUCUCUAAGGACGCCCUCUUUACCUAGAAACAUGAAGACCCUGCAUAACCAAGGAAAAAAUACUUCUUUGAGAAUGUGACCAGAAAUAUUUAUUCCAAAUAUGUUUUGCACAUGAUCAUUGUGCAAGUGCAACAUUGUUAGUGUGAGUGACAGUGUCAGAGCAAGAUGGAGAUGAAAGAAGAAAUGGCAAGAAAUAAAUUUUAGGAGUUAGAGAAGGACUGAUUCUUAAAUGGCUUUGUAAGCCAUGCCUAGAAGCUUGAGCACUAUUCCACAGCAAAGAGGAGCCACUGGAGAAUAUUGAGUACAAUUGAAAGAUUUCCCUGGUAGCAGGGUGGAGUAUGAAUUGGUGGGGAGACAAGAUUGGCAGUAGGGCGAGUAGUUAGGCAAUAAUGCAGGAAAUAAAGGAUAAACCUGUGGAUGGUACAAUGUUCGUGGGGCUGCACAGGAUGGGCAUUGAAACAAAGGGGUAGGAUUAAAAGGAUUUAAUGAUUGGAUGUGAGAAUAAGAGAGAGGAACCAAUAGAGCAUGAUUCUUAGGUUCCUGGUUUGGGCAACUUGGAGCCAUUCAUAAAAAAAGGAACAUAAAAGAAUGGCAAGUUUAGGUUAUGGAGAGUUGAUGAGUUCUGUUGGGGUCAUGUUUAGUUUGAGUGUGUCUAGAUCACACUCAAGCACAGAUGACCCACACUAGGCUGCAUAAGUGGAUCUCGUACUCAAGAGAGUGAAGACGGGAAGUACAGAUUUUGGAGUUAUCAGCACAUUGGGUAGAGCUGAAUCCAUGGACAGUAUGAGUUCAUUCUAUCAUUAAUUCAUGUACUCAUCCACCUAGCUAUCCAUUAACUUAAUAUUUAGUGUCUACUUUAUACUGGUAACGUUACUUAGAUGGCUGAAUAUUGAUGCAUCAGUGAACAGAAGACAAAGUUUCGCACAUCACAGAACGUACAUCCUAGUGGGAAGGAGACCCACAAUAAAUAAAACAGCACACGAUGCCAGAUACCAUUAGUGCUCUCAAAGAAAAUGAAGGAGAGUAAGGGAUCAGAGAAAGCUCCUCUGAAGAGGUUAUGUCUGAGCAGAACCCUGAUGGAAGAAAGCAUAGCCCUGGAAGACAGGAGAUGGAGUGUCCUCUGUGGAGGGAAAAGGGGUGGAGGCAGAUCAGACCCUUUGAGAAACAGCAGGAUCUUCUGGGAAGAACAAAAGAGAGCCAAGACCAAGAGAAGAAUGUGGAGAUUGCUGACCUUUAAAGUGUGAGCAAAGAAGGGCUCUAAAAAGGAUGGACCAGAAUUACAGAAAGAAGAAUUGCAGAAUUAAUUCUGUGUUCUGUGACUAGAACACCACAGUUUGAUAAUUCUCUUCCUAUAUCCACCACCCCUGUUUGUAACUGUCUCUAUACGCAUCAGUAGACCGAAUCUAAGAACUCACUCUCUUUCUAUCAUUUUUUUUAGUCACAGAGGUCUCCCUGUGGUUUGGUGAUUGGCUGCCUCUGAGUCUUUGCAUGUCUUUUUGCAUAUUUCUGGAAGUUCUGGAGAGGAUGGGGUAAGGGGUGGGGAGGGAGCACCAAUUCCUCCUUUAUUUUUUAAUUUUAUUUUCUUUUUCAGCCGUACCCAGGGCAUAUGAAAUUCCCCAAGCCAGGGACUGAAUCUGAGCUGAAGCUUCAACCUAUGUCAAUUUUUUCUUUGGUUGUCUCAAAAAGAAAAACGGUUAAAACAACCUUCAAGUGGCAGAACUUUUGUGAAUGGUAGAUUUGAUGUUAUUGUCUAAGAAAUAUGCUGAUAAAAGGCAUUUAUCCAAUAGCAUUAGUUUUGCAUACAGCCCAUAUGUUUUCAAGAAGAUCUUCUCAGUACAAGAAGGUGAAGCUCAGGGUUCCCAUCGUGGCUCAGCCGUUAAUGAACCUGACUGUCAUCCAUGAGGAUGCAGGUUCGAUCCCGGUCCUCACUCAGUGGUUAAGGAUCCGGCGUUGCCAUGAGCUGUGGUGUGGGUUGCAGAUGUGGCUUGGAUCCCGCGUUGCUGUGGCCCUGGAAUAGGUUGGUGGCUACAGCUCCAAUUCGACCUCUAGCCUGGGAACCUCCAUAUGCCGCAGGUGCGGCCCUAAAAA
RNAcentral lists this long non-coding RNA (3203 nucleotides) under Sus scrofa (pig). RNAcentral describes it as "lncRNA (ENSSSCG00000052908.1)". Lineage: Eukaryota; Metazoa; Chordata; Mammalia; Artiodactyla; Suidae. The record is from RNAcentral.